CCCUUAGAUGUCCUGGGCCGCACGCGCGCUACAUUGAUGCAUGCAACGAGUUUAUAACCUUGGCCUGAAAGGUCUGGGUAAUCUUUUGAACGUGCAUCGUGAUAGGGAUAGAUUAUUGCAAUUGUUAAUCUUGAACGAGGAAUUCCUAGUAAACGCGAGUCAUCAGCUCGCAUUGAUUACGUCCCUGCCCUUUGUACACACCGCCCGUCGCACCUACCGAUUGAAUGGUUCGGUGAAGAUCUCGGACUUCGAUAUUUAUUCUUUAUUGAGUUUAUAUUGUGGGAAGUUAUCUAAACCUCAUCAUUUAGAGGAAGGUGAAGUCGUAACA
This 328-nucleotide ribosomal RNA is filed under the name uncultured eukaryote. Its description in RNAcentral is "partial 18S ribosomal RNA". It matches the Rfam family "Eukaryotic small subunit ribosomal RNA", at positions 1470 to 1796 of the family's 1831-position model. The record is from RNAcentral.